GAUGAACGCUGGCGGCGUGCCUAAUACAUGCAAGUCGAGCGAACAGACGAGGAGCUUGCUCCUCUGACGUUAGCGGCGGACGGGUGAGUAACACGUGGAUAACAUACCUAUAAGACUGGGAUAACUUCGGGAAACCGGAGCUAAUAACGGAUAAUAUAUUGAACCGCAUGGUUCAAUAGUGAAAGACGGUUUUGCUGUCACUUAUAGAUGGAUCCGCGCCGCAUUAGCUAGUUGGUAAGGUAACGGCUUACCAAGGCAACGAUGCGUAGCCGACCUGAGAGGGUGAUCGGCCACACUGGAACUGAGACACGGUCCAGACUCCUACGGGAGGCAGCAGUAGGGAAUCUUCCGCAAUGGGCGAAAGCCUGACGGAGCAACGCCGCGUGAGUGAUGAAGGUCUUCGGAUCGUAAAACUCUGUUAUUAGGGAAGAACAAAUGUGUAAGUAACUAUGCACGUCUUGACGGUACCUAAUCAGAAAGCCACGGCUAACUACGUG
RNAcentral lists this ribosomal RNA (497 nucleotides) under uncultured bacterium. RNAcentral describes it as "partial 16S ribosomal RNA". It matches the Rfam family "Bacterial small subunit ribosomal RNA", at positions 28 to 507 of the family's 1533-position model. The record is from RNAcentral.